RNAcentral lists this ribosomal RNA (433 nucleotides) under uncultured bacterium. RNAcentral describes it as "partial 16S ribosomal RNA". It matches the Rfam family "Bacterial small subunit ribosomal RNA", at positions 29 to 507 of the family's 1533-position model. The record is from RNAcentral.
AACGAACGCUGGCGGCAUGCCUAACACAUGCAAGUCGAACGAGACCUUCGGGUCUAGUGGCGCACGGGUGCGUAACGCGUGGGAACCUGCCCUUAGGUUCGGAAUAACUCCCCGAAAGGGGUGCUAAUACCGGAUACUGUCUUCGGACCAAAGAUUUAUCGCCUUUGGAUGGGCCCGCGUUUGAUUAGCUAGUUGGUAGGGUAAAAGCCUACCAAGGCGACGAUCCAUAGCUGGUCUGAGAGGAUGAUCAGCCACACUGGGACUGAGACACGGCCCAGACUCCUACGGGAGGCAGCAGUGGGGAAUAUUGGACAAGGGGCGAAAGCCUGAUCCAGCAAUGCCGCGUGAGUGAUGAAGGCCUUAGGGUUGUAAAGCUCUUUUACCCGGGAUGAUAAUGACAGUACCGGGAGAAUAAGCUCCGGCUAACUCCGUA